CGCGGUGUAGCUCAACGGCCGAGAGCGUUCGCUUGAUAAGCGAAAGACGACGGUUCGAUUCCCUCCGCCGCGA
Molecule: transfer RNA, 73 nt
Filed under: Acidobacteriota bacterium
Lineage: Bacteria; Pseudomonadati; Acidobacteriota
Also listed under: 1 other name
Description: tRNA-Ile
Rfam family: tRNA
About the family: Transfer RNA (tRNA) molecules are approximately 80 nucleotides in length. Their secondary structure includes four short double-helical elements and three loops (D, anti-codon, and T loops). Further hydrogen bonds mediate the characteristic L-shaped molecular structure. tRNAs have two regions of fundamental functional importance: the anti-codon, which is responsible for specific mRNA codon recognition, and the 3' end, to which the tRNAs corresponding amino acid is attached (by aminoacyl-tRNA synthetases). tRNAs cope with the degeneracy of the genetic code in two manners: having more than one tRNA (with a specific anti-codon) for a particular amino acid; and 'wobble' base-pairing, i.e. permitting non-standard base-pairing at the 3rd anti-codon position.
Source: RNAcentral